UGUUGAUUAUUGAUGCUUUGCAGAGUGGUGGAAAUUUAAUUUGGAACUGAUAAACAUGAAUGGCUUACAAAGAAGUUUCGCGAAUGAAAAGGGCAAAGGUUUACUGGACUUCUUCAUUAAGGUCUAACAAGAAAGUAUCACCUCAAUCGGAUUUUCUCCCAUCACGUUCGAACAGCAUAUAUCUAUUGGAUUUGGGAUCUGCUUAUUGUGCGGAGUGGGACCAAGGUUAACCCACGAGGUGUUUGAGUCAUCGGCGUUUAUUUUGUUUUUGUUAGUUAGGGGUAGC
Molecule: long non-coding RNA, 286 nt
Organism: Spinacia oleracea (spinach)
Lineage: Eukaryota; Viridiplantae; Streptophyta; Magnoliopsida; Caryophyllales; Amaranthaceae
Exons: 3
Source: RefSeq, a predicted model, not a curated record